This 492-nucleotide ribosomal RNA is filed under the name uncultured bacterium. RNAcentral's name for it is "partial 16S ribosomal RNA". It matches the Rfam family "Bacterial small subunit ribosomal RNA", at positions 29 to 507 of the family's 1533-position model. The record is from RNAcentral.
AGUGAACGCUGGCGGUAGGCCUAACACAUGCAAGUCGAACGGCAGCACAGUAAGAGCUUGCUCUUACGGGUGGCGAGUGGCGGAAGGGUGAGGAAUACAUCGGAUUCUACUUUUUCGUGGGGGAUAACGUAGGGAAACUUACGCUAAUACCGCAUACGACCUACGGGUGAAAGCAGGGGAUCUUCGGACCUUGCGCGAUUGAAUGAGCCGAUGUCGGAUUAGCUAGAUAGCGGGGUAAAGGCCCACCAAGGCGACGAUCCGUAGCUGGUCUGAGAGGAUGAUCAGACAGACUGUAACUGAGGCACGGCCCAGACUCUGACGGGAGGCAGCGGUGGGGAAUAUUGCGCGAUGGGGGCGUGCCUGAUCCAGCAAUACCGCGUGGGUGAAGAAGGCCUUCUGGUUGUAGAGCCCUUUUGUUGGGAGAGAAAAGCAGCAGGUUAAUACCCCGCUGUUCUGACGGUACCCAAAGAAUAAGCUCCGGCUAACUUCGUG